GACGAACGCUGGCGGCGUGCUUAACACAUGCAAGUCGAACGGAAAGGCCCUGCUUUUGUGGGGUGCUCGAGUGGCGAACGGGUGAGUAACACGUGAGUAACCUUCCCUUGACUUUGGGAUAACUUCAGGAAACUGGGGCUAAUACCGGAUAGGAGCUCCUGCUGCAUGGUGGUGGUUGGAAAGUUUCGGCGGUUUGGGAUGGACGCUCGGCUUAUCAGCUUGUUGGUUGGGUAGUGGCUUACCAAGGCUUUGACGGGUAGCCGGCCUGAGAGGGUGACCGGCGACCAUGGGACUGAGAGACGGAGCAGACUCCUACGGGAGGCAGCAGUGGGGAAUAUUGCACAAUGGGCGGAAGCCUGAUGCAGAAACGCCGCGUGCGGGAUGACGGCCUUCGGGUUGUAAACCGCUUUCGCCUGUGACGAAGCGUGAGUGACGGUAAUGGGUAAAGAAGCACCGGCUAACUACGUG
Molecule: ribosomal RNA, 468 nt
Filed under: uncultured bacterium
Lineage: Bacteria
Description: partial 16S ribosomal RNA
Rfam family: Bacterial small subunit ribosomal RNA
Source: RNAcentral